GAGGGCAGAGCUAAGUGGUAGAGCAUGUGCUUAGCAUGCAUAAGGUCCUGGGUUCAAUCGCCAGUACCUCCA
Molecule: transfer RNA, 72 nt
Filed under: Camelus bactrianus (Bactrian camel)
Lineage: Eukaryota; Metazoa; Chordata; Mammalia; Artiodactyla; Camelidae
Also listed under: 1 other name
Rfam family: tRNA
About the family: Transfer RNA (tRNA) molecules are approximately 80 nucleotides in length. Their secondary structure includes four short double-helical elements and three loops (D, anti-codon, and T loops). Further hydrogen bonds mediate the characteristic L-shaped molecular structure. tRNAs have two regions of fundamental functional importance: the anti-codon, which is responsible for specific mRNA codon recognition, and the 3' end, to which the tRNAs corresponding amino acid is attached (by aminoacyl-tRNA synthetases). tRNAs cope with the degeneracy of the genetic code in two manners: having more than one tRNA (with a specific anti-codon) for a particular amino acid; and 'wobble' base-pairing, i.e. permitting non-standard base-pairing at the 3rd anti-codon position.
Source: Rfam by way of RNAcentral